AUGAAGAAGAAGGGUGUUAGCAUUGUUGCAUUGUGGGAAAGAGCUUCCAAGGCAAAUAAAAGAAUUUCGACAUCUACACCAAAUCCUCCUUAUGUUGAAGUUGAGAGCAGUAUCAUUCCUCCUACUAUUAAGAGCAAUCUGCAACUGGCACUUGUGCAAGCACAUGAACCUGAUGAUGGACACACAAAACCUGAGAGUGCAGCCGGCUCCCCAACCCCUAUUGUAGAAGAUGAUGAAGCAAAUGAUGAAGUUCAGUUUGAAAUAGAUUUGGAAGCACUUGAGUCUAAUCCUAGGAAACGGAUCCCCAUCUCUAGGUACAAUGUCAAUGACCGGGAUAAAGUUAGAAGGAGAUACAUCGAGUUGGGGGCAUGUCAACCAAAGAAACAUAAUUUUGAGUAUAGAGAUAUAAGUGGAUUACAACGUCGCUUUUCUCCUUCUUGGUUUAAGGAUUACAAGUGGCUUGAGUAUAGUGUGGACAAACAAGCCGCUUUCUGCUUCGUUUGCUAUUUGUUCAAGGAUAAAACAAGAUGUCCCGGUGGAGAUGCUUUUGUGAAGAAGGGAUUUAAUAACUGGAACAUGAAGUCGAGAUUGAAGAAACAUGAAGGUGAGGUUUGUAGUGCUCAUGCUGAAGCUCAAGAGAAGUAUGAUAGGUUCAGUACACCACAAACAUCAAUUUGGGAGUCUAUUGCUUCAAACACCUCACAAUACAAGGCUUUGUAUAAACAGCGUUUGACAUGGACACUCAAGUGUGUGAGAUUUCUGUUGCACCAAGGCUUGGCAUUUAGAGGACAUGAUGAAAGUGAAGACUCACUAAAUAAAGGAAAUUUCCUUGAGCUUCUAAAUUGGCUAGCAGGAAAUUUCGAAGAGGUUGACAGGGUUGUUCUCAAGAAUGCUCCACAGAACUGCAGGAUGACUCACCAUGAUAUACAGCAAGAGGUGAUAAAAUGUUGUGCACAAGAGACUACUAAACUAGUCAUUGAGGAACUUGAUGGUGAUCAUUUUGCAAUACUUGCAGAUGAAUCUAGUGAUGUUUAUCAGAAUGAACAGUUGGUUGUUUGCUUGCGUUAUGUUGAAAAGAAAGGAAGGGCGGUUGUAAGAUUUCUUGGUCUUGCUCAUGUUGAAGAUACCACCUCUUUGACACUAAAAGCUGCAAUUCAGAAAAUGCUUAUGGACUACAAUUUGACCUUCGCAAUGGUUCGUGGGCAAGGAUAUGAUGGAGCUAGUAACAUGAGAGGUAAUGCUAAUGGCCUGAAAAAACUGAUUAUGGAUGAGUCCCCUUCUGCCUACUAUGUUCAUUGUUUUGCCCAUCAACUACAGUUAACUCUUGUUGCUGUUGCUAAGGAGAGUGGUGAUUGUACUUGGUUCUUUCAGCAGCUUGCACACUUGUUAAAUGCUCUUGGCAUGUCUUGUAAAAAGAUGAGAAUGCUUCGGAUAGCUCAGGCUGAAGAACUCAUUGAUGCAUUGGAAUUGGAAGAAGUAGAAACAAGGAGUGGGCUGAAUCAGGAAAUGGGUUUGGGAAGGCCAUGUGAUACACGUUGGACCUCUCACUUCAAAACUGUGAACCGUGCCAUCUCUAUGUAUGGUACACUACGACGAGUCCUUCGCAAGAUUGGAGAUGAGUACCAUGGUGCGGAGGCACAAGCAGCUCUAUCCAUAGAGAAAAUAUUUUGA
RNAcentral lists this ribosomal RNA (1671 nucleotides) under Triticum aestivum (bread wheat). RNAcentral's name for it is "partial small subunit ribosomal RNA". The record is from RNAcentral. Lineage: Eukaryota; Viridiplantae; Streptophyta; Magnoliopsida; Poales; Poaceae.